CAAGAGCGUAUGUAAAAGUUGUUGCAGUUAAAAAGCUCGUAGUUGAACCUUGGGUUUGGUUGGCCGGUCCGCUUUUUUGCGAGUACUGGAUUCAACCGAGCCUUUCCUUCUGGCUAACCAGUCGUUUCGGCGGCUGGCGAACCAGGAUUUUUACUUUGAGAAAAUUAGAGUGUUCAAAGCAGGCAUUAGCUUGAAUAUAUUAGCAUGGAAUAAUAGAAUAGGACGUUAUGGUUCUAUUUUGUUGGUUUCUAGGACCAUCGUAAUGAUUAAUAGGGACGGUCGGGGGCAUCAGUAUUCAGUUGUCAGAGGUGAAAUUCUUGGGUUUACUGAAGACUAACUACUGCGAAAGCAUUUGCCAAGGACGUUUUCAUUAA
RNAcentral lists this ribosomal RNA (374 nucleotides) under uncultured eukaryote. RNAcentral's name for it is "partial 18S ribosomal RNA". It matches the Rfam family "Eukaryotic small subunit ribosomal RNA", at positions 592 to 976 of the family's 1831-position model. The record is from RNAcentral.